GGUUUGUAUUAUGGUUUUUAGAAUAUUUAAUUUUAGUAGUUUGAGUGAAGAUUGGGGGUUUCCUAUAGGGAAUUAAAGUACUGAGAAGGAAAGUUGUUUAUUUGUUUUUAAUAUUAGGUUGGUUAUUACCUUUUGUAUUAGGGGUGAUUUAUGUGUUUUAAUGUUGAUUUAUUUCUCGAUGAACAUCGGGCUAUCUUUCCUUAUGUAGUUCUCGUUGUAUAGAGUUGGUUAGGGGAUUAUAGGUAUGAAAUAUUAUUCAAGUUGUUUUUUAUCUAGUUCUUUAAGAAAUUUAAUAGAAGGUAUGUGUUAUUAUGGCGGUGAGUAGGGAUUAGCUUAUUUACUUUUUAUAUUGUUUUAUUUUUGUGGUUUGUUUGUUAAGUUAAUAGUGCUUAUUUGAAUGGAGUUAUUAUCAGGCAAGUUUUUAUGAAUUAUUUUUUGUUUUUAUUUUGGUAUUAAGGUUAUGUUGUUAAUCUUUAGUGAUUUGUAAUAAUGAUUACAUUAGUAAUAUUUUUUGUUAGAGGGCUUUUUGUUGUUUUCUAGUGCGCUAAGGGGAUAGGAGGAAUAUUGAAAUUAGAAUUGAUGAAUUCGGCAAAGAUGGACUUCUGACUGUUUAGCAAAGACAUUGUUUUUUGUUGGGGUAAAAAAUAAGUUCUGUCCACUGCCAUUGGGUGAAGGGCUGCAGUAUUUUGACUGUAUGAAGGUAGCAUAAUCAUUAGCUUUUUAAUUAGAAGCUGGUAUGAAGGUGAAACAGGGGUUUGCUGUCUUUUUUCUAUUUGUUGAAUUUUAUCUUCAUGUGAAAAAUCGUGAUUGGGUUAAAGGGACAAGAAGACCCUAAUAAGUUUUAUUUUCUUUUUUAAUGCAUGUAUAGGUGAUAAUUGGUGUAAUUUAUUUUAGGGGGUUUGGCUGGGGCGGCAGUUUAUGUAACAUAGAUUAAUUUUUAACUUUUUAUGGCGAUAUUUUGGACCUAGUUUGUUUAGGUUGGUGUGAAACUACUGUAGGGAUAACAGCGUGAUUUUUUUUGAGAGUUCUAAUUGACAAUAAA
RNAcentral lists this ribosomal RNA (1042 nucleotides) under Pleuroloma pinicola. Its description in RNAcentral is "partial large subunit ribosomal RNA". The record is from RNAcentral. Lineage: Eukaryota; Metazoa; Arthropoda; Diplopoda; Polydesmida; Xystodesmidae.